RNAcentral lists this ribosomal RNA (497 nucleotides) under uncultured bacterium. RNAcentral's name for it is "partial 16S ribosomal RNA". It matches the Rfam family "Bacterial small subunit ribosomal RNA", at positions 28 to 507 of the family's 1533-position model. The record is from RNAcentral.
GACGAACGCUGGCGGCGUGCCUAAUACAUGCAAGUUGAGCGCUGAAGGUUGGUACUUGUACCAACUGGAUGAGCAGCGAACGGGUGAGUAACGCGUGGGGAAUCUGCCUUUGAGCGGGGGACAACAUUUGGAAACGAAUGCUAAUACCGCAUAAAAACUUUAAACACAAGUUUUAAGUUUGAAAGAUGCAAUUGCAUCACUCAAAGAUGAUCCCGCGUUGUAUUAGCUAGUUGGUGAGGUAAAGGCUCACCAAGGCGAUGAUACAUAGCCGACCUGAGAGGGUGGUCGGCCACAUUGGGACUGGGACACGGCCCAAACUCCUACGGGAGGCAGCAGUAGGGAAUCUUCGGAAAUGGACGGAAGGCUGAACGAGCAACGCCGCGUGAGUGAAGGAGGUUUUCGGAUCGUAAAACUCUGUUGGUAGAGAAGAACGUUGGUGAGAGUGGAAAGCUCAUCAAGUGACGGUAACUACCCAGAAAGGGACGGCUAACUACGUG